AUCUUUUUAAUAUUAAUAAGUAUAUAUGACUUCCAAUCAUUUAGUUUUGGUUAAAAUCCAAAAAAAGAUA
RNAcentral lists this transfer RNA (70 nucleotides) under Hippocampus bargibanti (pygmy seahorse). RNAcentral's name for it is "tRNA-Gly". It matches the Rfam family "tRNA". From Rfam's summary of the family: Transfer RNA (tRNA) molecules are approximately 80 nucleotides in length. Their secondary structure includes four short double-helical elements and three loops (D, anti-codon, and T loops). Further hydrogen bonds mediate the characteristic L-shaped molecular structure. tRNAs have two regions of fundamental functional importance: the anti-codon, which is responsible for specific mRNA codon recognition, and the 3' end, to which the tRNAs corresponding amino acid is attached (by aminoacyl-tRNA synthetases). tRNAs cope with the degeneracy of the genetic code in two manners: having more than one tRNA (with a specific anti-codon) for a particular amino acid; and 'wobble' base-pairing, i.e. permitting non-standard base-pairing at the 3rd anti-codon position. The record is from RNAcentral. Lineage: Eukaryota; Metazoa; Chordata; Actinopteri; Syngnathiformes; Syngnathidae.